CUCCCAGUGAGUCCAGUAACUUAGUAUUGUAACGAGACACCUCCCCACCACACACGCUGUAAGGUUUGCUCUGACGGUACGCACGUUAGACGCCAGACGCGCGGCCUAAGAAAGAGAAUUUUAUUUUGAAAAAGUACAACGACGACAGGAAGCCGGUGCUCACGAGCAAAUUAAGUAAUAGAUUUAUAUUUUCCUUUCCAGGCGACAUCGACUGAAAGGAAAGGCGUUUUCUGGCUAAGUUGUCCGGAAGAUAAAAUACAAAGAGUAUCCGUUUUCUCGUUUCUCUUGAUAUGAGCGAAUAACAAAAUUUAUUCACAGCACCGCGUUAAAAACGAAUAAACGAGCUGAAGACUGUUUUUAAAACUAGACGCGGAAUUGGAUUUUAAAACCGUUUCCAGUUUUCUCGUUUAGAGGGUGAAAACGAGGAAACGACUCGUUUACACAGCUUUUAAUCUGGUGGGAUAAAUCAAACUGUUAGAACGUACACGGAUCGUUUUCUCGUUUCUCUUUAUAAAAGUGACAAACUGCAUUUUAUCAAAGCAGCGUGUAAAAAACCAAUAAACGAGUGGAAAACGGUGUUUUCAAAACCAGACAAAUUGAUUUAAAGCCAUUUCCCGUUUUCUCGUUUUGAGGAAAAACGGUGGGGAAAUCAAACUGUUAAACGUACAGACCGAGGAUCUUUGUGAACCUGUUCGGGGAGGGAAGAGGAACUACUUGUCGCAGAUCCUGUGUGCUCGUGACAGGCGCGUCAUCAUUAUCCUUCCGCAAGACAUUGGUUUUCUCUCGGGUUUAUCCAAAUGGGAGGAGGGGUUUCAAGGCUGGAUCACUGUCAGCAAUGUAACCAAGCCUUCACAGCUAAAGCUUCAUCAGCAAGUUCACUCUAGGGAGGGCCCUUUAAGCUGUGACCAGUGUUCCAAAGCUUUUCCUACAAGAGGUAACCUUAAGACCCAUCAGGAAAUCCAUACAAGGGCACAACUGUACACCUGCAACAAAUGCGAAGCAACUUUCAGCAGUUCACAGGCUUUUAAACUCUAUCAACGUGCUCACAGUGGAGAGAAGCAUCACU
RNAcentral lists this long non-coding RNA (1066 nucleotides) under Betta splendens (Siamese fighting fish). RNAcentral describes it as "lncRNA (ENSBSLG00000001543.1)". The record is from RNAcentral. Lineage: Eukaryota; Metazoa; Chordata; Actinopteri; Anabantiformes; Osphronemidae.